This 26-nucleotide non-coding RNA is filed under the name Mus musculus (house mouse). The record is from RNAcentral. Lineage: Eukaryota; Metazoa; Chordata; Mammalia; Rodentia; Muridae.
UNGCUUUGCUGAGGUGUCGGGGUGUG